This is a non-coding RNA of Brassica napus (rape), 97 nucleotides long. NCBI's taxonomy places the organism in Eukaryota, Viridiplantae, Streptophyta, Magnoliopsida, Brassicales, Brassicaceae. The record is from Rfam.
AUGGAGGUGAUGACAAUUUCCCCAAAUGAUCGGAUCUGAUUAUACUGAGCGAUUUUAUGUUUUCUCAUCAGAAAACCAAGCCAAUAUUCUGAUCCUU